Molecule: ribosomal RNA, 497 nt
Filed under: uncultured bacterium
Lineage: Bacteria
Description: partial 16S ribosomal RNA
Rfam family: Bacterial small subunit ribosomal RNA
Source: RNAcentral
GAUGAACGCUGGCGGCGUGCCUAAUACAUGCAAGUCGAGCGAACGGACGAGAAGCUUGCUUCUCUGAUGUUAGCGGCGGACGGGUGAGUAACACGUGGAUAACCUACCUAUGAGACUGGGAUAACUUCGGGAAACCGGAGCUAAUACCGGAUAAUAUUUUGAACCGCAUGGUUCAAAAGUGAAAGACGGUCUUGCUGUCACUUAUAGAUGGAUCCGCGCUGCAUUAGCUAGUUGGUAAGGUAACGGCUUACCAAGGCAACGAUGCAUAGCCGACCUGAGAGGGUGAUCGGCCACACUGGAACUGAGACACGGUCCAGACUCCUACGGGGGGCAGCAGUAGGGAAUCUUCCGCAAUGGGCGAAAGCCUGACGGAGCAACGCCGCGUGAGUGAUGAAGGUCUUCGGAUCGUAAAACUCUGUUAUUAGGGAAGAACAUAUGUGUAAGUAACUGUGCACAUCUUGACGGUACCUAAUCAGAAAGCCACGGCUAACUACGUG